RNAcentral lists this ribosomal RNA (468 nucleotides) under uncultured bacterium. RNAcentral's name for it is "partial 16S ribosomal RNA". It matches the Rfam family "Bacterial small subunit ribosomal RNA", at positions 28 to 507 of the family's 1533-position model. The record is from RNAcentral.
GACGAACGCUGGCGGCGUGCUUAACACAUGCAAGUCGAACGGAAAGGCCCUGCUUUUGUGGGGUGCUCGAGUGGCGAACGGGUGAGUAACACGUGAGUAACCUGCCCUUGAAUUUGGGAUAACUUCAGGAAACUGGGGCUAAUACAGGAUAGGAGCUCCUGCUGCAUGGUGGGGGUUGGAAAGUUUCGGCGGUGGGGGAUGGACUCGCGGGUUAUCAGCUUGUUGGUGGGGUAGUGGCUUACCAAGGCUUUGACGGGUAGCCGGCCUGAGAGGGUGACCGGCCACAUUGGGACUGAGAUACGGCCCAGACUCCUACGGGAGGCAGCAGUGGGGAAUAUUGCACAAUGGGCGGAAGCCUGAUGCAGCAACGCCGCGUGCGGGAUGACGGCCUUCGGGUUGUAAACCGCUUUCGCCUGUGACGAAGCGUGAGUGACGGUAAUGGGUAAAGAAGCACCGGCUAACUACGUG